UGUAGGGUUUUUGCCAAAAGCUUUGUCGUUUUUGAAAAACCAAGACUGUGGCAACACUAACAGAGGAAUGGGGUUAAGAAAGAGAGAGAGACUGCAGGGCAAGAGAUAGAACAGAGAGCAGGCAACUGAGAGGAAAAGGAGUGCUUCUUAUCGGAGAGCCCGUUUGGUGUUUAUGAAAUGAAAGUGGCUAAUAGCAAUGAGGUAAUCCAGUCCGACAUACUCCAUCCAGGCAAGAUGGCAGGUCUAACAAGCAGUGUUCCCCAGAGAUCUCCUGUCUUGGGCCCAUCACACGCCUCACUGGCACCCUGUACAGCACUUCUCUUCUCACAAGCAAAGAGGAACGAUGUACUCAAGAUCAACUUCCUCCAGGGAAAAGUAAUUUAAUGUCUGUGGCGUGUGAACUUCUGUCUCAAACACAUCCUUUCUCACCUUUUCCAUCUCAUGCGACUGGACUAAUUGGCAAGCACUUAACAUCCUAUUUCUGGAAGCCUUUAGCCUGGUUGACCAUAUCAAUAUUACGUGUUUAAGAAUGUUGAUGUUGUCACUAGUAAAGACAUUACAAUAACCAUUACAAUCAUACAUACUUUGAUUGUUUUUUGUUGCAAAAGUCACAUACUGUAUGCUGUACUGGUCUGAAACUUGCCUGCAAAAUACACUUAUUUUAGUUCUGUGAUCAAAUAUAUAAACAAUAAUGCAUACAGCAAGUGCUCUCUUCAUGACAUUAAUAAUGAAUGCUCACUCAUGCCGCUUCUUCAAUUAGACCGUCAUUGUCAACAUGGCCGUAUAGUGUGGCAAUGGGAGAUAUCGGAUAAGGUUGUCUCGUAUUCCCACAAUCAAUAGCUGGCUAGAGAAUAGAUAUAUAUAGGAUAGUGUAUUAUUUCACUCAAGGAAUCUGAUUCACCAAAUUAAAUGGAUCUUCAAGGUUAUGGACGACAGGCUCCUGAACUCAUGUCGAAAUUCUCUGACAGCAGAAUGGUUUGAUCAGAGUAAAGCUGAGAAACUCUUAUGUCAGCACAUGGGCUGUACUGUUUCAUCCCUGUACAUUUUCGGAGUACAGUUUCUCAGACAGUCUGGGCUUUAGUAAAGCAUUAGUGUUAGCAAGGAGCAGUGAUUAAUUGGUUUUGCCCAUCCUCCCUUGUGAACUGACUUCUCUCUGACCUUACAGUAAUUACAUGUGCACUCCCUCCUUAAUGAGUGAAAAGGCGUGCAGAGGAUUGAUGUGGAAUUGAUGUAUUUUCAGUUGUCGGCAUUUUUGUGUUCAUGGAAUGGCAAUCGAUACAGGCAUUGAAAUAGCAAUUGCAUUAAAGUCAAAGGGUUACGGAUGUGCAGUUGAAUGGAAUUAAAUACAGGUUAAUAAUGUGCAUUCACUUUGUAGACCACAACCAUGAUUCUAAGCAUGAAGGGUGGAACUGAUAACAAUGAACUGAUUAAAAUGGAUGUGAUGAAAAUGCAAGUGAAUUGAAAAUGGAGGGGAUGAAAAUGCAUAUGAAUUGGAAAAUAGAGUGAAAAUGGAUGUGAAUUGGAAAACAGAGCAAUAAAUUAUCAAGUGAUUAGAUUUGUUCUCGUCUUACAUUCAUAACUUCAAAAUAGACAAUUACCAUUUAAAUUUGAAAUUAAGAGACUUCAAGGGUGGUAGUAACUCAAAUGUAUUGACAAAGAUGGUGGUGAUGAAAUUGCAUGUGAAUUGAAAAAUGUAAGGGGUUAAAAAUGGAUGUGAAUUGUUAUAAAUUGUCAAUUGAUUUGAUCACCAUGAUUGACGUUUGUAAUUUAAGGGAAGAUAUGCUCUGCUUAGAAGGUCAGACUAAUGCCUUUUGCAUUCACAAAAUGUAGAUUGAAUUUUUAAUGAGAAACCUCAAUGAAAUAAACUACAGUGGACAAAGAGGGCAGCCAUAAUAACAGAGGAUUAACUCUGGCAUAUUUGAGCAACUUGCCUUCCAAGUCUUUAGACAACAUUAUGGACAAAUAAACCAUUAUUUGCUCUGUUUGCUUCCGACUCUGAUUAAGGCUCAGUAAGUGCAAACUGGGCGACCUAUUUUCAGUGACUUUCCAGAUAACAAUGUACGGCCUAGCAGUGAUGUCACAGGCUCUCAGGGUCAUCUGUCUGCCGUCUCAGCAUGAGCAUGCUCUUUUGACGUCCACACCUGAUGAACACCUCAGAUGUGAGAUGAAUGAACGACACUAGUACAAGGGGUCAGUUGACACAGCAGAUCCAGGAAGAUGAAUGUGCUUCUUCACACCGGCUCCUUCCCAGAGGAAAUAUGCAAAUACAUCUCUUGCCUAGCUACUGAAUCCUUGAAGGAGAGAUUCCUCCAUAUCAUGCUGUGCAUAGAUCCAUUCACCACAGUACCGUUGGUACACACAGUGUGAGGAUGGUGGUGGGGGAUGUUUCAUAAGCAUUUCAUGGCCUAGGAGUCUGCUGGCCUGUGUGCUCUGCAGUGAUGUCAGAACACAAUCUGGCACAUGGCUGGACCUUUAAGUACCUCAGCAGCAUGCUCAAUCUGGUGGGAUACUCAGUGAUAAUGGUAAAGAGCGUCUGCUAAAUGACUAAAAUGACUAAAUGUAAAUAAAGACAUUUGCUGAGUG
Molecule: long non-coding RNA, 2583 nt
Organism: Osmerus eperlanus (European smelt)
Lineage: Eukaryota; Metazoa; Chordata; Actinopteri; Osmeriformes; Osmeridae
Exons: 5
Source: RefSeq, a predicted model, not a curated record